GAUGAACGCUAGCGAUAGGCUUAACACAUGCAAGUCGAGGGGCAGCAUGGUCUUAGCUUGCUAAGACUGAUGGCGACCGGCGCACGGGUGCGUAACGCGUAUGCAACUUGCCUCACAGAGGGGGAUAACCCGUCGAAAGACGGACUAAUACCGCGUACACUUGGGAUAGGGCAUCCUGACCCAAGGAAAUGAAAUUCGCUGUGAGAUAGGCAUGCGUCCCAUUAGCUAGUUGGUGAGGUAACGGCUCACCAAGGCGACGAUGGGUAGGGGAACUGAGAGGUUGAACCCCCACACUGGUACUGAGACACGGACCAGACUCCUACAGGAGGCAGCAGUGAGGAAUAUUGGUCAAUGGGCGAGAGCCUGAACCAGCCAAGUCGCGUGAAGGAUGACUGUCUUAUGGAUUGUAAACUUCUUUUAUACGGGAAUAACAAGAGUCACGUGUGGCUCCCUGCAUGUACCGUAUGAAUAAGCAUCGGCUAACUCCGUG
RNAcentral lists this ribosomal RNA (490 nucleotides) under uncultured bacterium. RNAcentral's name for it is "partial 16S ribosomal RNA". It matches the Rfam family "Bacterial small subunit ribosomal RNA", at positions 28 to 507 of the family's 1533-position model. The record is from RNAcentral.